UACUAACUGUAUUUUGAAAUUAGAAGAAAAAGCAAAAAAUGAACAGUACCAGACUAUUUUAUGAUUAAGAGUCAAUAAAUGGUAGAAACAAGAACAAAUAUUAGAAACUUUCAUGGAAGACAGCAUUUGCAUCCUAAGGAUGUACACAGGAUUUGGACUACUGCCGGGCAGAUGUUACAGGUUGGGAAGCAGAAUGCACAUGGCUUAGAGAUGAGAAUUAUAUGAGAGUGUUGAUAGGACAAGAGGAAAACUCCCUUGCUGAAGUUGAAGUAUUCUCAUUGUGGAAUUCUGGGAAUUAAGUGUGGGCAGGAGGGUAGAUGUACAGGUAGCAGCAGACAUAACAGACUCAGGAAAGCUGGAUCAAAAUCCAGCAACAGGAAGAGCCAGGAAGAAACUGAUCUGCAGAACACAAGAGGGCUCAGGACUGCCACAGCCACACCUGGUACCAAGAAGUAAGAGCUACAAUCAAAAGGAUUAGACAAACGUCUGUUUCAGAGACAGACGCCAGCAUUCCUCUCCCUCACUGCGACCAGCUGGACCAGUUCGUUCCGAACCCAGCUGAUAUAGUUUGGGUAUUUGUCCAAAUCUUCUGUUGAAAUAUGAUUCCCAGUGUUGGAUGUGGGGCCUAGUGAGAGGUGUCUGGGUCAUGGGGAUGGAUCCCUCAUGAAUAGCUUGGUGCCCUCCCCACAGGAAUAAGUUCCCCAGAGAUCUGCUUGUUCAAGAGGUCGGGAGCUCCCUCCUCUCUCGUUCCCGCUCUAUGUGAUAAGCCUGCCCCCACUCUGCCUUCCGCCAUGACUGUAAGCUUCCUGAGCCGUCACCAGAAGCCGAUGACAGCACUUAUGCUUCCUGUAGUCUGCAGAACUGCCUAGCUGAGGACCCUGAGGGCAGAGGUGAGGUCCCGCCUUCCCACGCUGUCAGCAGGCGUCACGGUGGAAACUAGCUGAGGACCCUGAGGGCAGAGGUGAGGUCCCGCCUUCCCACGCUGUCAGCAGGCGUCACAUCACGGUGGAAACUAGCUGAAGACCCUGAGGGCAGAGAUGAAGUCCCGCCUUCCCACGCUGUCAGCAGGCGUCACAGUGGAACAGUGAUGCUUUCAGACAUGCAAGUCUCAACAUUGUUCUCCGUCACAUACUCCUCAAAUCUCCACUAGAAGAUAUGUUCCAUUAAAAUAAAAAAAAUCCAAAAAAGAAUAUGACACAAAAUCCAUGAAGGAGGGGAUCCAAUAUGAGAGAGACAGAGGGACCAGAGGGACCUCCAGGAUGAUCCUGACUCGAGAUCCCAAGAUGCCAGCUGUGCUGCCAACAUAAGGAUUAUAUAGUCGAGAUUAGCACAGGCCAGAAAUGUCCAGAAGAGAUUUCCUCAAGAUGAAAUGGAUAGAAUACCUCAGAGAGACUGGGACCAGUGCUGGAAGCAACACAGCCGAAAUGCAGCGUUGUUGAGAGAGGGCUCCUAAACUGGAUUUUGGAGGAACUGAAUUCAGAAUGAUCAAAGUACAACCAAAUGUACUUGAGACGUCCACAGCCAGUUCAGACAUGGGGCUGGAAUGAUGUGUCAAAGCCCACAGAAUGUAGAACACCCAGAGUGAACCCUAAUGUGAACAUGGACUUCGGAUGAUGAUGUCGGUUCAUCGAAACACCCAGAGUGAACCCUAAUGUGAACAUGGACUUCGGAUGAUGAUGUCGGUUCAUUGAAAACACCCAGAGUGAACCCUAAUGUGAACAUGGACUUUGGAUGAUGAUGUGGGUUCAUCGAUUGUACCAAAAAUGCCUCUGUGGUACAGGAUGCUGACGGUGCGGAAGGCCACGAGUGUGUGGAGCAGGGGUAUAUGGGAACUCUCUGUACCUUCCACUUAAAUUUGUUGUGAACCUAAAAUUGCUCUA
RNAcentral lists this long non-coding RNA (1880 nucleotides) under Homo sapiens (human). Its description in RNAcentral is "HSALNT0317669". The record is from RNAcentral. Lineage: Eukaryota; Metazoa; Chordata; Mammalia; Primates; Hominidae.